UGCAUGUUUACAUGUGUGUGUGUGUGUGUGCGUGUAUAUGUAUGAGUGUGCGUGUGUGUGUGUGUGUGUGUAUGCAUGUGUACGUGUGUCUGUGCGUGUGUACGUCUGUGUGUGAGUGUGUGUGUGCGUAUGCGUGUCUGUGUGUGCAUGUAUAUGUGUGUGUGCGUGUCUGUGUGUGUGUAUGUGUGUGUGUGUAUGUGUACAUGUGUGUGUGUGUGUGUGUAUGUGGGUGUGUGUG
RNAcentral lists this long non-coding RNA (238 nucleotides) under Lathyrus oleraceus (garden pea). RNAcentral's name for it is "Pisum sativum (pea) long non-coding RNA (PSAT_LNC040961)". The record is from RNAcentral. Lineage: Eukaryota; Viridiplantae; Streptophyta; Magnoliopsida; Fabales; Fabaceae.